This 424-nucleotide ribosomal RNA is filed under the name uncultured prokaryote. Its description in RNAcentral is "bacterial SSU rRNA". It matches the Rfam family "Bacterial small subunit ribosomal RNA", at positions 355 to 796 of the family's 1533-position model. The record is from RNAcentral.
UGGGGAAUAUUGGACAAUGGGCGAAAGCCUGAUCCAGCCAUGCCGCGUGAGUGAUGAAGGCCCUAGGGUUGUAAAGCUCUUUCAACGGGGAAGAUAAUGACGGUACCCGUAGAAGAAGCCCCGGCUAACUUCGUGCCAGCAGCCGCGGUAAUACGAAGGGGGCUAGCGUUGUUCGGAAUUACUGGGCGUAAAGCGCACGUAGGCGGAUCGAUCAGUCAGGGGUGAAAUCCCGGGGCUUAACCCCGGAACUGCCUUUGAUACUGUCGGUCUCGAGUCCGGAAGAGGUGAGUGGAAUUCCGAGUGUAGAGGUGAAAUUCGUAGAUAUUCGGAGGAACACCAGUGGCGAAGGCGGCUCACUGGUCCGGUACUGACGCUGAGGUGCGAAAGCGUGGGGAGCAAACAGGAUUAGAUACCCCCGUAGUCC